UUCAACUCCAAAGAACCAGAUGCCUUUCCUAAAUGAAACUCAUUACCUCUAAUCUCAUCACCAAGCUGUUAACUCAAGCCUUGACUGACACCACCUACCUCAGCCUCCUCUUUCUUCUGAUUAGGGGACUAGACAUGCCACUAUGUGCUUGUGAACUACAGAACCAUAGCAGAUCACAAGACUUGAAAAGACUCAGACACUUCCUUGAUGUGUGACCCUGGUUUCAGGUGCAGGAGAUAGAAUCCCCAUUGGACCCAGGAUUGAGCCAUGGUGACCUUGGAGCCAAGAUUCCAGGCUACAAUUUGGGAAAUGACCCUCAGAGCUACUACAGUGCUUCUUGGAGGAGGAGAAGAUGACCACCUACAGAAGCAGGAGCCGAGCUCAUGGAGUGGCUUGCCAGAAGAUAUGACCUUGAGAGAGAGGACAGAGCUGAAAUGGAGUGAAAUGCCUAUUCAAUAAUCCUUCUAAAUGCUUCAUGUUUUAAUUUCAAGUAUCAACCACCAGGAGAAUAUUAUGAGCAGAUUUACCAUUUAUGGGCAGAAGGUUUGAAGGAAUGGAAAUACAUGCUGAUCUCUCAUGGCCUAAGAUGUUGAUCAAUGAUGGGAAGUGAAUAAACUAUACCAGUAAGUUUAAUUCAUACCAGCCUAGUUCUGUUCUGAUUAUUUUAAUUUUUUUAAAGGUCUAUUGAUUUUUUUUUUCUGUAAUGAUUGUUUCAUGAUAAACCCUCCACCACAUUGAAUCCUCCCUUGGAAACAAAAAGAAAACAAUUAAGAAAACUUGAUUAACAAAGUGAUGACAUCUAAUGAUAUAGGAAGCAUUCCACACCCAGAUGUCCCCAUAUGCCUACUAAAAGGAAGGGAGUGUGUUUCAUUUCAUAUUUUCUGGAAACAAGAUUAGUCAAUGCAACUAACCUGAAUUCAUAUGCUUUUGAAUAUAGUUUUCAUUUACAUUAUUGUAGUUGUUUUGUAUAUUGUACUCGUAGUUCUGCUUUCUUCCCUCUGCCACAGUUCAUAUAAGUCUUUUAUAUUGGAGCUGGGCUUAGUGUGGACAACUGAUUGGCUCUAACCCUCCCUACCACAGCUCAGAACUCCUGUACCAACUUCAUCAUCCUCUGGUAGCAAGGAUUACAGGACUGCAUGAUUGGCUAUGCUGCCAUACUGGCAUAGUUCGAAAUAGUUUUGAUGGUUACUGCCUUAUAGUAUUGUUUGAGAUCUAGUUAUACUAAUUCAGGGAGGACUAGCACCUCCGGUAUAAGGGUUUGCUGAGCUCUUUUCA
Molecule: non-coding RNA, 1275 nt
Organism: Phascolarctos cinereus (koala)
Lineage: Eukaryota; Metazoa; Chordata; Mammalia; Diprotodontia; Phascolarctidae
Source: RefSeq, a predicted model, not a curated record